This 428-nucleotide ribosomal RNA is filed under the name uncultured bacterium. RNAcentral describes it as "partial 16S ribosomal RNA". It matches the Rfam family "Bacterial small subunit ribosomal RNA", at positions 338 to 795 of the family's 1533-position model. The record is from RNAcentral.
CCUACGGGGGGCAGCAGUGGGGAAUAUUGCACAAUGGGCGCAAGCCUGAUGCAGCCAUGCCGCGUGUAUGAAGAAGGCCUUCGGGUUGUAAAGUACUUUCAGCGGGGAGGCGUUACCCGCAGAAGAAGCACCGGCUAACUCCGUGCCAGCAGCCCGGUAAUACGGAGGGUGCAAGCGUUAAUCGGAAUUACGGGCGUAAAGCGCACGCAGGCGGUCUGUAAGUCGGAUGUGAAAUCCCCGGGCUCAACCUGGGAACUGCAUUCGAAACUGCAGGCUAGAGUCUUGUAGAGGGGGGUAGAAUUCCAGGUGUAGCGGUGAAAUGCGUAGAGAUCUGGAGGAAUACCGGUGGCGAAGGCGGCCCCCUGGACAAAACUGACGCUCAGGUGCGAAAGCGUGGGGAGCAAACAGGAUUAGAUACCCUUGUAGUC